UACGGAGGGGUCAAGCGUUAUUCGGAUUCACUGGGCGUAAAGGGCGCGUAGGCGGGAUCGUAGGUCGGUCGUGAAAUCCACCGGCUCAACCGGUGAACUGCGCUCGAAACUGCGAUUCUUGAGGUAGGUAGAGGAAGGCGGAAUUCCUGGUGUAGCGGUGGAAUGCGUAGAUAUCAGGAAGAACACCGGUAGCGAAGGCGGCCUUCUGGGCCUCACCUGACGCUGAGGCGCGAAAGCUGGGGGAGCGAACAGGAUUAGAUACCCUCGUA
RNAcentral lists this ribosomal RNA (269 nucleotides) under uncultured prokaryote. RNAcentral describes it as "partial 16S ribosomal RNA". It matches the Rfam family "Bacterial small subunit ribosomal RNA", at positions 524 to 792 of the family's 1533-position model. The record is from RNAcentral.